This 496-nucleotide ribosomal RNA is filed under the name uncultured bacterium. RNAcentral describes it as "partial 16S ribosomal RNA". It matches the Rfam family "Bacterial small subunit ribosomal RNA", at positions 28 to 507 of the family's 1533-position model. The record is from RNAcentral.
GAUGAACGCUGGCGGCGUGCCUAAUACAUGCAAGUCGAGCGAACAGACGAGGAGCUUGCUCCUCUGACGUUGGGGGCGCAGGGGGGGGAAACCGGAGGAAACCGUCCUUGAAGGUCGGGGAAAAUUAGGGAAACCGGGCGCAAAACCGGUAAAAUAUCUUGAACCGAGGGGUUCAUUGGAAAAGUACGGUUUUCUGGGAUGUAAUCGCGGAUUCCCGCCGCCUUAGCUAGGUGGUAAGGUAACGGCUUACCAAGGGAAAGAUGCGUAGCCGAACUGAGAGGGUGAUCGGCCACACUGGAACUGAGACACGGUCCAGACUCCUACGGGAGGCAGCAGUAGGGAAUCUUCCGCAAUGGGCGAAAGCUUGACGGAGCAACGCCGCGUGAGUGAUGAAGGUCUUCGGAUCGUAAAACUCUGUUAUUAGGGAAGAACAAAUGUGUAAGUAACUAUGCACGUCUUGACGGUACCUAAUCAGAAAGCCACGGCUAACUACGUG